GAUGAACGCUGGCGGCGUGCCUAAUACAUGCAAGUCGAGCGAACGGACGAGAAGCUUGCUUCUCUGAUGUUAGCGGCGGACGGGUGAGUAACACGUGGAUAACCUACCUAUAAGACUGGGAUAACUUCGGGAAACCGUAGCUAAUACCGGAUAAUAUUUUGAACCGCAUGGUUCAAAAGUGAAAGACGGUCUUGCUGUCACUUAUAGAUGGAUCCGCGCUACAUUAGCUAGUUGGUAAGGUAACGGCUUACCAAGGCAACGAUGCAUAGCCGACCUGAGAGGGUGAUCGGCCACACUGGAACUGAGACACGUUCCAGACUCCUACGGGAGGCAGCAGUAGGGAAUCUUCCGCGAUGGGCGAAAGCCUGACGGAGCAACGCCGCGUGAGUGAUGAAGGUCUUCGGAUCGUAAAACUCUGUUAUUAGGGAAGAACAUAUGUGUAAGUAACUGUGCACAUCUUGACGGUACCUAAUCAGAAAGCCACGGCUAACUACGUG
RNAcentral lists this ribosomal RNA (497 nucleotides) under uncultured bacterium. RNAcentral's name for it is "partial 16S ribosomal RNA". It matches the Rfam family "Bacterial small subunit ribosomal RNA", at positions 28 to 507 of the family's 1533-position model. The record is from RNAcentral.